GUAAGAUCCUCCAGCACUCGGGUGAAACGAGGCGAUGCCGUUAAAGUUCAACACAAAGUCUUUCCUGUCGCACACUGGAGAAGAGUGAGACUGAUAGCGAGGGAUUCCCACUGCAAUAAAAACCCAAAAUCACGGGGGUAAAAUAAACUUCCUACAGGGACAAAGCAUGCACACUGAAGAUGGCACCGCUCCAGCUUGAAAUAUAUUUCUAAUGAAAUUUCAGAAAUAUUUCUUUUGUAAACCUUCUGACCAAAAUUCCUUUUAUUUUUAUUUUUUUUUUUUUUUAAAUAAAAUGUAAUGCUUAAAAAACAUAAGAGGCGUCUAAAUAUUUCACUGUAGAAUCCAGAAAAGUUUCGGUUAGUUUUAGAGUCCAGUAUUAUUACACAGUAAUGAAUUAUUUCAGUCGUUUCUAUACAUUAACAAAUAAAGAUCAUGAGCAGAGACCACACUUGAUCACGUGCAUUCUAUUAAGUACACGUAAGCUAUGAUAGGGUGCAUUAACAUUCCACCCAUGCUUCUUAUAAAAAGAAAUAAACAGAAAGAAAUAAACAAGUACAUAAA
Molecule: long non-coding RNA, 561 nt
Organism: Tachysurus fulvidraco (yellow catfish)
Lineage: Eukaryota; Metazoa; Chordata; Actinopteri; Siluriformes; Bagridae
Exons: 2
Source: RefSeq, a predicted model, not a curated record